UCCGUCUUUCCGUUCGUCCGUUGGACCGGUACAAUAUGUUUCGCCGGUUUUGUAAGCGCAUCUCCUCAUAAACCACUUAAUAUACAUUGGGGUUUCCGGCCAUUUUUAAAUGGAGAGGGGUCCAAUCCAGGAGAAAAGGGGAUUCCAAAUAUAUGUUCCCAUACAAAUGCAUUGAUAGUUAAAAAAAGGGUUUCAAACUGCCGGAUCCCCUUUUUUUUAAUCCGUCACUGAUAUAACUAUUAAUUAAUCUUAUUCGGAUUCCUUAUCAUAAAUGAUAAUGACUGUAUUGUGCACGUCUAUUUCGAAUUUUAGUAAAAAAUCUUUUAUGGGGUUACUUUAUAUAAGAUACGGACUUGAACAUUGCAUUAUAUGGGGCACCCAUCAGGUAUUUCCAACACCUCCUAAACCAAUCAUUAAAGUUUUCUGAAAUUGCUCCAUUUUUACUCGAUUAAUGCAUUAUGGACCUUCUAUUUCUGUAAACUUACCAAAAUUAUAUCACAUGAAUUAUCCCCCUACGCAAAGCUGUCUUUAUCCAUUUUUUUGUUAUUUUAAAAGCGACAAGCUUGAUUUAUGUUAUCAUCAAUUGGUCAACGGCGGACG
This 600-nucleotide long non-coding RNA is filed under the name Mytilus galloprovincialis (Mediterranean mussel). The record is from RNAcentral. Lineage: Eukaryota; Metazoa; Mollusca; Bivalvia; Mytilida; Mytilidae.